GUAAUCCAAUGCCUACACGAAAUAUCUUUAAUAACUGAAGAUUGUACUAGCAUUGAAAAAAAUAAUGAUUCAAGAUAUGGAUGUAGCAAGUAACCUCUAACAUUUGAAAAUGAAAACGCGCAUUUAACUGAAAACAGGGAAAGAAGAUACACCAAUGCCACUUAAGUCAUGAGAAACCAAAGCAUAAGUAGCACAUAAUUACAUGCCCUAAGUGUUAGUAGUAUACCCUAGAGCAU
This 236-nucleotide unclassified non-coding RNA is filed under the name Hevea brasiliensis (rubber tree). The record is from RNAcentral. Lineage: Eukaryota; Viridiplantae; Streptophyta; Magnoliopsida; Malpighiales; Euphorbiaceae.